AGAGUUUGAUCCUGGCUCAGAACGAACGCUGGCGACAGGCUAACACAUGCAAGUCGAGCGCGCUUUCGGGUGAGCGGCGGACGGGUUAGUAACGCGUGGGAACGUGCCCUUCUCUACGGAAUAGCCUCUGGAAACGGAGAGUAAUACCGUAUACGCCCUUUGGGGGAAAGAUUUAUCGGAGAAGGAUCGGCCCGCGUUAGAUUAGGUAGUUGGUGGGGUAACGGCCUACCAAGCCUACGAUCUAUAGCUGGUUUUAGAGGAUGAUCAGCAACACUGGGACUGAGACACGGCCCAGACUCCUACGGGAGGCAGCAGUGGGGAAUCUUAGACAAUGGGGGCAACCCUGAUCUAGCCAUGCCGCGUGAGUGAUGAAGGCCUUAGGGUCGUAAAGCUCUUUCGCCUGUGAUGAUAAUGACAGUAGCAGGUAAAGAAACCCCGGCUAACUCCGUGCCAGCAGCCGCGGUAAUACGGAGGGGGUUAGCGUUGUUCGGAAUUACUGGGCGUAAAGCGCGCGUAGGCGGAUUAGAAAGUUGGGGGUGAAAUCCCGGGGCUCAACCUCGGAACUGCCUCCAAAACUGCUAGUCUAGAGUUCGAGAGAGGUGAGUGGAAUUCCGAGUGUAGAGGUGAAAUUCGUAGAUAUUCGGAGGAACACCAGUGGCGAAGGCGGCUCACUGGCUCGAUACUGACGCUGAGGUGCGAAAGUGUGGGGAGCAAACAGGAUUAGAUACCCUGGUAGUCCACACCGUAAACGAUGAAUGCCAGUCGUCGGGUAGUAUACUAUUCGGUGACACACCUAACGGAUUAAGCAUUCCGCCUGGGGAGUACGGUCGCAAGAUUAAAACUCAAAGGAAUUGACGG
This 858-nucleotide ribosomal RNA is filed under the name uncultured marine bacterium. RNAcentral's name for it is "bacterial SSU rRNA". It matches the Rfam family "Bacterial small subunit ribosomal RNA", at positions 8 to 916 of the family's 1533-position model. The record is from RNAcentral.